UACGGAGGGUGCAAGCGUUAUCCGGAUUCACUGGGUUUAAAGGGUGCGUAGGUGGGCCUGUAAGUCAGUGGUGAAAUCUCCGAGCUUAACUCGGAACGGUCAACUGAUACUGUGCGGCUAGAGUGCGGAAGGGGCAACUGGAAUUCUUGGUGUAGCGGUGAAAUGCGUAGAUAUCAAGAGGAACACCUGCGGCGAAGGCGGGUUGCUGGGCCGACACUGACGCUGAGGCGCGAAAGCUAGGGGAGCGAACGGG
This 253-nucleotide ribosomal RNA is filed under the name uncultured bacterium. RNAcentral describes it as "partial 16S ribosomal RNA". It matches the Rfam family "Bacterial small subunit ribosomal RNA", at positions 524 to 776 of the family's 1533-position model. The record is from RNAcentral.